CGGGGGAGUAACCUGGGGAAACUCGGGCUAAUACCGCGUCGUUGGUGGGACUACGGUUCUGUCAAGAAAGCUGGCCUCUGCUUGCAAGCUAGCGCUCCCAGAGGAGCCCGCGGCUGAUUAGCUAGUUGGUGGGGUAACGGCUCACCAAGGCAACGAUCAGUAUCCGGCCUGAGAGGGCGGACGGACACACUGGGACUGAGACACGGCCCAG
This 211-nucleotide ribosomal RNA is filed under the name uncultured bacterium. Its description in RNAcentral is "partial 16S ribosomal RNA". It matches the Rfam family "Bacterial small subunit ribosomal RNA", at positions 137 to 334 of the family's 1533-position model. The record is from RNAcentral.